RNAcentral lists this ribosomal RNA (449 nucleotides) under uncultured bacterium. RNAcentral describes it as "bacterial SSU rRNA". It matches the Rfam family "Bacterial small subunit ribosomal RNA", at positions 329 to 794 of the family's 1533-position model. The record is from RNAcentral.
CACCAGACUCCUACGGGAGGCAGCAGUGGGGAAUAUUGCACAAUGGGGGAAACCCUGAUGCAGCAACGCCGCGUGGGUGAAGGAGCGUUUCGGCGCGUAAAGCCCUUUCAGCGGGGAAGAAGAAAGACGGUACCCGACCAAGAAGCCCCGGCUAACUACGUGCCAGCAGCCGUGGUAAUACGUAGGGGGCAAGCGUUAUCCGGAUUUACUGGGUGUAAAGGGAGCGCAGACGGCUGUGCAAGUCUGGAGUGAAAGGCGGGGGCCCAACCCCCGGACUGCUCUGGAAACUGUAAAGCUGGAGUGCAGGAGAGGUAAGCGGAAUUCCUAGUGUAGCGGUGAAAUGCGUAGAUAUUAGGAGGAACACCAGUGGCGAAGGCGGCUUACUGGACUGCAACUGACGUUGAGGCUCGAAAGCGUGGGGAGCAAACAGGAUUAGAUACCCCAGUAUA